This 440-nucleotide ribosomal RNA is filed under the name uncultured bacterium. RNAcentral's name for it is "bacterial SSU rRNA". It matches the Rfam family "Bacterial small subunit ribosomal RNA", at positions 338 to 776 of the family's 1533-position model. The record is from RNAcentral.
CCUACGGGAGGCUGCAGUAGGGAAUAUUGGUCAAUGGAUGGAAGUCUGAACCAGCCAUGCCGCGUGCAGGAAGAAGGCCUUCUGGGUCGUAAACUGCUUUUGCCGGGGGAUAAAAUUACCUUGCGAGGUAAAUUGAAGGUACCCGGUGAAUAAGCCACGGCUAACUACGUGCCAGCAGCCGCGGUAAUACGUAGGUGGCAAGCGUUGUCCGGAUUUAUUGGGUUUAAAGGGUGCGUAGGCGGCCUAUUAAGUCAGUGCUGAAAUACUCUAGCUUAACUAGAGGGGUGGCAUUGAUACUGAUGGGCUUGAGUGGAGUCGAGGUAGGCGGAAUUGACGGUGUAGCGGUGAAAUGCUUAGAUAUCGUCAAGAACACCGAUAGUGUAGACAGCUUACUAGGCUUCAACUGACGCUGAGGCACGAAAGUGUGGGGAUCAAACAGG